Rhagoletis pomonella (apple maggot) is the source of this 511-nucleotide long non-coding RNA. RefSeq lists it as uncharacterized. NCBI's taxonomy places the organism in Eukaryota, Metazoa, Arthropoda, Insecta, Diptera, Tephritidae. The transcript is spliced from 3 exons. The record is from RefSeq and is a predicted model, not a curated record.
AAUUGCAGUUACACCUUCCAAUUUUUAUUGCCGAAAGUGAUUUCUGCAAAUCUACAAAAGGACUUUCUGACAGUUUACUCGGGAGAGUGGACUUACGAUUUCGCAUAAAAUGCAUCACACGGUCACACUGUUUAUAACAGCUGUUUGUAGCACACGCUUUUCAAAUUUUGUUUAUUGGUGGGGGAAUAAAGUGAAGUGCUUCAUAGCCUCGUUAAAUUAAUAAAAGCUACCCAAUUUCGUUUAAAAACUUUAAGGAGCGGCGAAAAACAAAAAUCACGUUAUGCACACGUAUACGGCGUUUUAAAAAGUGGCCUCACUCCGUUGUUUUUGGUACUAACACUUUAAAAUUUAUAGUGAAGUUAUUUGUUGCCCGCUAAUUGGAUAUUUAUUUGCGACCACUUACUCAUUUUUCUAUUUAUCUACUGAUGUGCGCAUACUUUUCGACUAACUGUUGACUUUUGUGGCGUGCGGCUCAUGCAUGACAACGGAGAGCAGUGUUAAAUUCAAAGAA